AAAAAUAUGUGCUUUAAAAAAAAAAAAAAGAAACACAACUCUUUGCAUUAUUAUAGUACACAAAUUUAUGUGAAUAAUUCUUUUUAAAAAUAUAAAUAAGUUAGCCAUUCCUUUGAUGUUUCAAUGGUAUUCUGCCAUUAAAUCUGAUAAUACUGAAAUCACCUCACAACCUAGGGACUACAGUCAGGAAUACUUCAGUCGGGAAAGCACCUCCGCCUUCGAAAAGGCUUCAGCAACUCUCCCCCAGCAAGGCAAAGAAGUCUGCGGAGAUGGACGAGGCGGCAUAGAGGCUUCUGGCCAUGGGUAGGAGACCGUUCAGGUGAGAGAGCAGCAGAGCCACAAAACCAGCAUCCAGUGAACUUUAUUGAAGAGAAACAUCUGCUGAAUCACUGAGAAGGGGAUGACAUCACAGAGAGGAACUCCUGAUGACCAUGAGAGGCCAUAGGUCCUGUGGCCCCCUCCUCCUGGGGUUCCUGGCCAGGUGCCACCUCUGUCCCCCAUGCUGUGGCCCUCCUGCCACCUUCUCCCUUCCUUAGGGCCCCCAGAUUUUCCUCUGGCCAGGAUGGUGGACUCUGGCAAUGUCCACUCACUUGAGGGAUCCCCCUCCUGGGCUGACCCGUUGGGCCAGGUCCUGCCCUACGGCCUGCACAGGACAGUCACAGGACACUGGAGAACACGGCAGGAAACACGCCACUGAGCGGAGGAAACCAAGGCAUGAGUAACAACAUGUUGGACGUCAGAGCUCAGGGUCUCCGGGAGGAACUGUUCAGAUAAGAUCACAUUCAUCCCCACAAGAACAAGCGGCCGGUGGCCUGAAUCUACAGUGAGAAAGUAGAGGUGCAGCUGGCGACACGACGAGAGCCAGCAGAGCCUUGGCUCCUCGCCCGGAAGCUCACAGCACGUGCCCGGGCCCAGAGGUUGCUGACCAGGUAGGACAGGAUGCGCCCCGGGGUGGACACGGGCCUCACUGCUUUGCACAGAAACGAUGGCAGUGGGGGUUAGGGGGGAGUGGGAGCACUUGCUUGACAUGUGAAUCAUCCUGGGGCCAACACAGAUAAGGGUGGGCUUCCCAGAGAAGGGAUCAGCCUGCCCUGGUACCGGGAAUGGGGGGACCCCUCUUGGGAGACCCAGGCAGCUGGCACCCUUGAAAUGGCCUCUUUCCCCUAAUGUCUCCCAGUCCAGUGCAGGUGGCAGCCGUCUUCAGGUCCCUCAUCCAGGCUUGACCGGCCACUCAGGGGGGCCUCCAGCACAGCUGCCCGAGGUGGUGGGGUGUGGGGCAGGGCUCGUCAUCCACGGGUGCUCAGCUGUGGUCCACUGUGACAGUCCCAGGUUCCCCUUGCCUUCUCUCUCCUGCGGCUCUGCACAAACACAACAGAACGAGACAACACCCCCACUCCUCCUCCUCCUCCUGCUUUGGAACAAAUUCUUCCUGCACCCCCACUCUGGCCGAAGCCAGCUGUGGGGACACUGGCCCACCAGA
Long non-coding RNA from Galeopterus variegatus (Sunda flying lemur), 1480 nucleotides. RefSeq lists it as uncharacterized. NCBI's taxonomy places the organism in Eukaryota, Metazoa, Chordata, Mammalia, Dermoptera, Cynocephalidae. The record is from RefSeq and is a predicted model, not a curated record. The transcript is spliced from 3 exons.